CACACACACACACACACACACAUGUGAUCUACAGGGCGGCGGAUCGAGGCGGUAGGUAGUUUAGCGUAGGCGUAUAGUUGAUCGUUCUGUUCCAUUAAGAAUUAAAUAAUGUCAAAUUCGAAUUGUAAUAAUUAAGUCGAGCGUGUGGUGCCCAUUUUGGCACGUGAAAAGUAUGCCCGUAGUGUGAGGCCGUUUCGCGAGCGGACACUUGUUACAUAUCUUACACUGUAUAUUAGUUUAGUUUAAGGGGAAUUCGAAGCUCACGCGUGACCACUUCGGCGUUAGAUAGUUAGGUCCGUGAAACUUUUAAUAA
Long non-coding RNA from Cydia amplana, 313 nucleotides. RefSeq lists it as uncharacterized. The record is from RefSeq and is a predicted model, not a curated record. The transcript has 2 exons. Lineage: Eukaryota; Metazoa; Arthropoda; Insecta; Lepidoptera; Tortricidae.